ACGAACGCUGGCGGCGUGCUUAACACCUGCAAGUCGCACGGAAAGGCCCUGCUUUUGUGGGGUGCUCGAGUGGCGAACGGGUGAGUAACACGUGAGUAACCUGCCCUUGACUUUGGGAUAACUUCAGGAAACUGGGGCUAAUACCGGAUAGGAGCUCCUGCUGCAUGGUGGGGGUUGGAAAGUUUCGGCGGUUGGGGAUGGACUCGCGGCUUAUCAGCUUGUUGGUGGGGUAGUGGCUUACCAAGGCUUUGACGGGUAGCCGGCCUGAGAGGGUGACCGGCCACAUUGGGACUGAGAUACGGCCCAGACUCCUACGGGAGGCAGCAGUGGGGAAUAUUGCACAAUGGGCGGAAGCCUGGUGCAGCAACGCCGCGUGCGGGAUGACGGCCUUCGGGUUGUAAACCGCUUUCGCCUGUGACGAAGCGUGAGUGACGGUAAUGGGUAAAGAAGCACCGGCUAACUACGUG
This 467-nucleotide ribosomal RNA is filed under the name uncultured bacterium. RNAcentral describes it as "partial 16S ribosomal RNA". It matches the Rfam family "Bacterial small subunit ribosomal RNA", at positions 29 to 507 of the family's 1533-position model. The record is from RNAcentral.